UACGGGAGGCAGCAGUGGGGAAUAUUGCACAAUGGGCGAAAGCCUGAUGCAGCAACGCCGCGUGAGUGAUGAAGGUCUUCGGAUUGUAAAGCUCUGUCUUUUGGGACGAUAAUGACGGUACCAAAGGAGGAAGCCACGGCUAACUACGUGCCAGCAGCCGCGGUAAUACGUAGGUGGCAAGCGUUGUCCGGAAUUACUGGGCGUAAAGGAUGUGUAGGCGGAUUUUAAGUGAGAUGUGAAAUCCCCGAGCUCAACUUGGGGGCUGCAUUUCAAACUGGAUAUCUAGAGUGCAGGAGAGGAAAGCGGAAUUCCUAGUGUAGCGGUGAAAUGCGUAGAGAUUAGGAAGAACAUCAGUGGCGAAGGCGGCUUUCUGGACUGUAACUGACGCUGAGGCAUGAAAGCGUGGGGAGCAAACAGGAUUAGAUACCCUGGUAGUCCACGCCGUAAACGAUGAGUACUAGGUGUAGGA
This 469-nucleotide ribosomal RNA is filed under the name uncultured bacterium. Its description in RNAcentral is "bacterial SSU rRNA". It matches the Rfam family "Bacterial small subunit ribosomal RNA", at positions 340 to 827 of the family's 1533-position model. The record is from RNAcentral.